ACGGGCUGCUUGCAGACCGGACCGUCUCUGCUUUAGAGACGCUAACCUGUAUGAGCAAGAAGGCCGGUAGGCCGGAUUGCGAAUGCAGGUCGGAUCGCAUGAGUGCGCAGCACGGAGCGGUCCGAGGGC
This 129-nucleotide small RNA is filed under the name uncultured Lachnoclostridium sp. RNAcentral's name for it is "Clostridiales-1 RNA". It matches the Rfam family "Clostridiales-1 RNA", at positions 29 to 158 of the family's 166-position model. The record is from RNAcentral. Lineage: Bacteria; Bacillati; Bacillota; Clostridia; Lachnospirales; Lachnospiraceae.